Molecule: ribosomal RNA, 546 nt
Filed under: Paratylenchus nanus
Lineage: Eukaryota; Metazoa; Nematoda; Chromadorea; Rhabditida; Tylenchulidae
Description: partial 28S ribosomal RNA
Rfam family: Eukaryotic large subunit ribosomal RNA
Source: RNAcentral
CGGAUAGAGCCAGCGAAGUCGCUCGUAUUCAGCCAAAGGCCGGUGGCAUCGGUGGGUCGGGUUGCUAAUCACGCCUGGCCAGCCUUUUGUCCACCGGUUGAGGUGCAUUUGCGGGCGUUUGCGCUGAGACUUGCGAGUCAGCUUCUGGACCCGGGCCUAGAGGCCGUCCUCUGGGCGGAACCUUGGCACGGCGACGGUUGUUUGGCCUGCUCGUACCACGGCUUGGCCUACGGACCUGGGCGGCUGGUGUCGUCUGCUUGUGGUGGCAUCGCAUGCGAUGACCCACCUGUGGGCGGCUCAGUCGUUUGGCGUUCCCAAGUCGGCUCUCGGUGUAAAAGCUGGUCACCUAUCCGACCCGUCUUGAAACACGGACCAAGGAGUUUAGCGUAUGCGCGAGCCAUUGGGUGUUGAAAACUCACAGGCACAAUGAAAGUGAAGGCCCAGCCGCUGGGCUGACAUGCGAGUUGGCGGCUCACGGGCCGUCGAUGCAGCAUGGUCCCAUUUCGGUCGCUUGCGACGGAGUGGAGACAGAGCGUAUGCGCUGAG